Molecule: ribosomal RNA, 497 nt
Filed under: uncultured bacterium
Lineage: Bacteria
Description: partial 16S ribosomal RNA
Rfam family: Bacterial small subunit ribosomal RNA
Source: RNAcentral
GAUGAACGCUGGCGGCGUGCCUAAUACAUGCAAGUCGAGCGAACAGACGAGGAGCUUGCUCCUCUGACGUUAGCGGCGGACGGGUGAGUAACACGUGGAUAACCUACCUAUAAGACUGGGAUAACUUCGGGAAACCGGAGCUAAUACCGGAUAAUAUAUUGAACCGCAUGGUUCAAUAGUGAAAGACGGUUUUGCUGUCACUUAUAGAUGGAUCCGCGCCGCAUUAGCUAGUUGGUAAGGUAACGGCUUACCAAGGCAACGAUGCGUAGCCGACCUGAGAGGGUGAUCGGCCACACUGGAACUGAGACACGGUCCAGACUCCUACGGGAGGCAGCAGUAGGGAAUCUUCCGCAAAGGGCGAAAGCUUGACGGAGCAACGCCGCGUGAGUGAUGAAGGUCUUCGGAUCGUAAAUCUCUGUUAUUAGGGAAGAACAAAUGUGUAAGUAACUAUGCACGUCUUGACGGUACCUAAUCAGAAAGCCACGGCUAACUACGUG